RNAcentral lists this long non-coding RNA (304 nucleotides) under Musa acuminata (dwarf banana). Its description in RNAcentral is "long non-coding RNA (MACU_LNC008619)". Lineage: Eukaryota; Viridiplantae; Streptophyta; Magnoliopsida; Zingiberales; Musaceae. The record is from RNAcentral.
CGUCGUACUCUAGCAUAGUGCAUGUGAGGUUUAACUCAAUGGUGGCUCCACGCCGUGAUGAGUUCUCGAUUCCAUCCACGGGUAGCCAUUUCCUACUCGAGCCCUCUCACCCUGCCCAAGUGCUAGGUCGGCUCUUAAUUUAAUAUCAAAUAGAUAGAAGGUGAAGUGGGAUUCCAAACAUAAUAUGGUCCAUCCAUUUCUGAAUGACCACCAAACAUAAUCUAGAGCAUCGCGGGCUCUAAGCACAUACCCUUUACCAUUUCUAGCAAAGGUCCAAAUAAUCCCACAAACACCAGAGUACAAA